Molecule: long non-coding RNA, 3295 nt
Organism: Passer domesticus (house sparrow)
Lineage: Eukaryota; Metazoa; Chordata; Aves; Passeriformes; Passeridae
Exons: 4
Source: RefSeq, a predicted model, not a curated record
GACUGACUUUCUCUGUGUGCCAUGCUGUGCACGAAGCCAAAGCUGCUCAGCUGGAUGUAAGUCCUAAACCUGUUCCCAGUAUUAGGACAGUCCCUGUAUUUGAGAUGCAGGGCUUUAUGUGCCACAGCUUGAAGGUGAAAUCUAAGCAGGUGGGCACGGUGUUGUCUGUCCCCAGGCUUAAUGAAGAUACUCCUGAAACAUGCAACCCCCCUGCUCUGGAGUAAUUUAGGAUACUCCUUGUAACACCAGAAGUUUAUUUGGAUGAUUCUUAACUAAUGCAGUUGAAGCCCAUGAGCAGCACGAGGAUCAGCUGCUUGUCUGCUGUCAGGUGGCUUCAAUUCAGUGAAUUUACUGUGCAGGGCACCUGGGAAGCAGAUAAUGCUGUGGUGCUUAUUUAAAUAAGGGCUGCUAAUCUCCAAACCUCUUGUCUGGCUAGUCCAACGUGUGCUUUCAAAGGAUGUGUUCCCCACUUACCCAAUGAAGCCAUCAUUAAAAGUUCUUCACACGCUCUAAAGAUCUGAAAUUGCCUCCCUGGUAGCAGGAGAGUUUGGAAUUAGAAGUGGAACAGCAAAAUUCUGCAGAGGAAGGUGCUGCCUGAGGCUGAGGCAUUCCCCUUGGAAAGCAGGUGCCUUUCUGAUGUCAGCAGGGAAAAGCUGCAGCUCCCCACAGCUUGGGAGAGCCCUCCCUGCCCAUGUCUGAACCUGUCUCAGUUCAGCCAGGCCUGUUAUGGAUUUAGCAUCAAGCACGUGUUUAAAGUCCCAUUGAGGCUUCAUUUUGGCACAAAUAUAAGACCACUGGGAUUUUAGCUUGUGCUAAAUUUCUUGCUGCAGUACCUGGCUAAAUGUGUGUUUGAGUUGUGGCCUCUGAAAAGAGCAUGUUUGUAUAAUGCAAUAUCCUGAUUUGUGAAAGGAGGGAACAUAACAUUUACUGGGAUACUGCAGGAGUCAGGGUAAUCUUUGUGCAUUCUGAAAUCCUCCUGUGAAUCCCUGCAAGACUUUGGGCUCAAAGACCCCAGGGCUCAGAGAGCUGCUAUGUGAAAAAAAUGAUCCAUAAUGUCUUUGUUCCCAUAAGAAAAUGAUGCACUUGGAAAAGUAACAGAAAACCUAAAUUUAUGCAGCAUAGCAGUUUUGAAGGAAGCAGGCAGUCUAGACACCUACAGUUGUUACAUAAGGAUGCAUUGAGGACUCAUUAAUAUUUCACUAACCAAUAAAAUGUUGUAUAUUAAAGUAUUAAAAUAUAAUGUUAUCCAUUUUGCUGCCUUGCAAUGGGAAACAAACCACAAGAAGAUACCUCAUAGGAAAAAACCACCAGGGUAGACUUGAAAAUUACUUUAGAUGUAAAGCUUUGGGGGCUUAAAAAAGAUACAGGGGAGCAAUUUUUGGGAUCUGUCCUGGUUUUGCAGCCACACACAUUUAAACUAUACAUUGGAACCUGGGAUAAACCCACAAGGGUGAUUUUUCUGUGUUCUCAUUGGUUGUGGCAGGUUCAGGGGGCUGCUGCUGGCUUUAUGCAGAGGUUUGGGAAGCCUUAUCCUUUACAUGUCACCAAAUGUUAUGUUUGCUUCCCAGUCCAGUGAGCUUUUGCAAGUGCAGGUGUAAAUUUGCACUAAGGCAGCUGCAGGCUUUGAAGAGGAGCUGCUUGAAGGAAUUGGGUGCUGAGCUUGCUCUCCAGAUCCUUUCAGUGUGCCUUGGAAAAGGCAAAUAUCCAGGGAGAGUUUCAGAUUGUAGUGGGUUGACCCUGGCUGGAUGCCAGACACGGCAGCCCUGUACCCACCCCACAACCAAAACCUGUCCACCCAAACCCAGCCCACAGACAAACGAGGUGUGCUGAUUUCCAUUUACAAAAACCAAAGCAAAACAAAGCAAAAAACCCAGGAAAAUCAAACCACCAGGAGAUACAAGUAAAAACCAACCUCUCUUUUUUGGCUUGGGAAUGACACACUUUAAAAGGCAGCCUUUUAAAUAGGGCUGUUCUCAGUAGGGCUUGAAACACUGUAGGAGAAGAAAUAUCUGUGUCAUCAACUUUUAGGCAGAAAAAGUGAGGCAGUGCAAAUUCUUCCCCUGCCAAGUCUCAUCUCAGGCUGUGGGGGUGAGGGAUAAGGUGAAUGUGGCUGUAUGUCCUCUGGCUGCCAAGGGAACCAGCCUGUGCAUCAGGCCCUACAAACAAGAGUGCUUGCUGUCAGGAAAUUUAGAUUUGCAUUAGCAGUCCCAAAUAAAUUAAACCUCCAAAUUAAAGCUCUCAAUACAGAGGAAAUUGUGGGGUGGCUUAACUGGGAUAUAGUUCUAGUUUUACUGGGGAAUGGCUCCACCAAAAUUUUCUGGGUUACACAUGUGUAUGAAUUGAGGUGCAGGGGUGUGUCAGUCCUUAGAAUAAAUUUUGGUGGGGUGAAAACCUUGAUUAUAUCUUGGGUUUUGGCAAUGAAUUUCUUUGAAAUGGUGGAAGCAUUUAUAUUAUUAUUCUUAUAGCUCUUGUAAGAUGCUUUUUACCAGUGCUUCAGAGUAAAAUUGUUCUGUAAAGUGCUUACACAGACAACUAAUAUCGAUUACAAUUAAAGUUCUCUUUUGAAUUUGAAUUUAAGGCAUGCCAAAUAUGGCAAGAGGCUGUGACUUUGUUAUUGAUACAUGCUUUUUGAUGGCUGGUAUCAGCCUAUAGCUGUUGAAGAAACUGAUCUCCUGUGCUAUAAAUAUUGUAUAUGACUCACAGCAACAUUCUUGAUAAUGUAGUAUUAAUUUAUUGCUGGUUUAAUUUUGUUGUGAGAUAAAGUUGUGUUUGGUUUAAUAUACAAACAAGUAAACAUGCCUAUUGUUUUGUUGAAUGAGGUAUUGGUAUUUUUUAAAUUUAACUUCUUAACUAAUUUUAAUUUAACUUUUUAACUAAUGCCAUGGGUAUGUGUGUUCAUUUAAAGGCCAAUGUUGUGUUUAAGGCUCCAACAAAGACAAACAAGGAUUUCAAUAUUUAAUUCUGUAGAAGAUGUCCCUCAAAUGUAAUUAAAUCUGAUCUCACUUACUGGCAGACAAAUGAAUAAUUCAUGGAGUUUAGGCAUAAUCAGGUUAUGAACUUUCUUAAAAUUUCAGAUGAUGUGCAAAGGUUAAUCUUUAUAUUAAAAGAAGAAAAGCUGGGAUAGUUGUAUUUCCAGUGUGAUAAUCCAGGUUGCCUAGGAUACCAUGUUAAAGAGACAGAAAGUUCAGGAUAUAUAUAGAGAGAGAGAGUCAAACACGAGCUGGUAUUUAUUUAAUGCAGAAGAUGUAUAGAUUUUUGUGUGUGCCUGAAUAGCUCAUUAUUUUUUCUUGACAAA